RNAcentral lists this ribosomal RNA (434 nucleotides) under uncultured bacterium. Its description in RNAcentral is "bacterial SSU rRNA". It matches the Rfam family "Bacterial small subunit ribosomal RNA", at positions 29 to 449 of the family's 1533-position model. The record is from RNAcentral.
AUGAACGCUGGCGGCGUGCUUAACACAUGCAAGUCGUGCGCGAAGGAGGCUUCGGUCUCUGGAGAGCGGCGAACGGGUGAGUAACACGUGGGUAAUCUACCUGGGAGCGGGGGAUAACCUGGGGAAACUCGGGCUAAUACCGCAUACGUUGGUUGGGUUAUGACUUGACCAAGAAAGCUGGCCUCUGCUUGCAAGCUAGCGCUCCUGGAGGAGCCCGCGGCUGAUUAGCUAGUUGGUGAGGUAAUGGCUCACCAAGGCAUCGAUCAGUAGCCGGCCUGAGAGGGUGAUCGGCCACACUGGGACUGAGACACGGCCCAGACUCCUACGGGAGGCAGCAGUGGGGAAUCUUGCGCAAUGGGCGAAAGCCUGACGCAGCGACGCCGCGUGAGGGAUGACGGCCUUCGGGUUGUAAACCGUCUUUCAGCUCCGACGAA